UACGUAGGGUGCAAGCGUUGUCCGGAAUUAUUGGGCGCAAAGAGCUCGUAGGCGGCUCGUCGCGUCGGCUGUGAAAACCUGAGGCUCAACCUCGGGCUUGCAGCCGAUACGGGCAAGCUAGAAUUCGGUAGGGGAGACUGGAAUUCCUGGUGUAGCGGUGAAAUGCGCAGAUAUCAGGAGGAACACCGGUGGCGAAGGCGGGUCUCUGGGCCGAUAUUGACGCUGAGGAGCGAAAGCGUGGGGAGCAAACAGG
Molecule: ribosomal RNA, 253 nt
Filed under: uncultured bacterium
Lineage: Bacteria
Description: partial 16S ribosomal RNA
Rfam family: Bacterial small subunit ribosomal RNA
Source: RNAcentral